UGGGGAAUAUUGCACAAUGGGCGCAAGCCUGAUGCAGGGACGCCGCGUGAGGGAUGACGGCCUUCGGGUUGUAAACCUCUUUCAGCAGGGAAGAAGCGCAAGUGACGGUACCUGCAGAAGAAGCACCGGCUAACUACGUG
RNAcentral lists this ribosomal RNA (140 nucleotides) under uncultured bacterium. RNAcentral's name for it is "partial 16S rRNA". It matches the Rfam family "Bacterial small subunit ribosomal RNA", at positions 355 to 507 of the family's 1533-position model. The record is from RNAcentral.